AUUGAACGCUGGCGGCAGGCUUAACACAUGCAAGUCGAGCGGGGGAAGGUAGCUUGCUACCGGACCUAGCGGCGGACGGGUGAGUAAUGCUUAGGAAUCUGCCCAUUAGUGGGGGACAACAUCUCGAAAGGGAUGCUAAUACCGCAUACGUCCUACGGGAGAAAGCGGGGGAGCUUCGGACCUUGCGCGAAUAGAUCAGCAUAAGCCGGAUUAGCUAGUUGGUGGGGUAAAGGCCUACCAAGGCGACGAUCUGUAGCGGGUGUUAGAGGAUGAUCCGCCACACUGGGACUGAGACACGGCCCAGACUCCUACGGGAGGCAGCAGUGGGGAAUAUUGGACAAUGGGGGGAACCCUGAUCCAGCCAUGCCUCGUGUGUGAAGAAGGCCUUAUGGUUGUAAAGCACUUUAAGCGAGGAGGAGGCUACUCUAGUUAAUACCUAGGGAUAGUGGACGUUGCUCGCAGAAUAAGCACCGGCUAACUCUGUGCCAGCCGCCGCGGUAA
Molecule: ribosomal RNA, 501 nt
Filed under: uncultured bacterium
Lineage: Bacteria
Description: partial 16S ribosomal RNA
Rfam family: Bacterial small subunit ribosomal RNA
Source: RNAcentral